GGUCCAAUCCUUAAAGUCAUCCUCAGUUCGGACUGGGGUCUGCAACCGACCCCACGAAGCUGGAUUCGCUAGUAAUCGCGCAUCAGCCAUGGCGCGGUGAAUACGUUCCCGGGCCUUGUACACACCGCCCGUCAAGCCAUGAAAGCCGGGGGCGCCUGAAGUCCGUGACCGCGAGGGUCGGCCUAGGGUGAAACCGGUGAUUGGGGCUAAGUCGUAACAAGGUACC
RNAcentral lists this ribosomal RNA (226 nucleotides) under uncultured bacterium. Its description in RNAcentral is "partial 16S ribosomal RNA". It matches the Rfam family "Bacterial small subunit ribosomal RNA", at positions 1265 to 1500 of the family's 1533-position model. The record is from RNAcentral.